This 216-nucleotide long non-coding RNA is filed under the name Mytilus galloprovincialis (Mediterranean mussel). The record is from RNAcentral. Lineage: Eukaryota; Metazoa; Mollusca; Bivalvia; Mytilida; Mytilidae.
GGGGGCAUAAAAAGCUGCAUUUCCAAAAACGAAUGAUUUGGCACGAACAGACAAGUUAAAGUUACAAUACAUAAUGAACACGGGACGCGCAAUUUCUAUUUAUGAGUGAUACUGAGAGCAAAAAUACAAAGUUUUCGGACACAAUUUUCCAAAGAUGGUUUCACAUCAGUGCUGUUCUCAAUUAAUCUGUCAACCUUUUAUAAAACCACAGUAUUG